GGGUUCUGCCCUCCUCUGUAGUGAUAGAGCAUCUGCUUUGCAUGCAGAAGGGCUCAGGUUCAAUCCCUGGCCA
Molecule: non-coding RNA, 73 nt
Organism: Podarcis lilfordi (Lilford's wall lizard)
Lineage: Eukaryota; Metazoa; Chordata; Lepidosauria; Squamata; Lacertidae
Source: the annotation of a GenBank genome assembly